CCUACGGGCGGCAGCAGUGAGGAAUAUUGGUCAAUGGACGAGAGUCUGAACCAGCCAAGUAGCGUGAAGGAUGACUGCCCUAUGGGUUGUAAACUUCUUUUAUCUGGGAAUAAAACGUUCCACGUGUGGGAUUUUGUAUGUACCAUAUGAAUAAGGAUCGGCUAACUCCGUGCCAGCAGCCGCGGUAAUACGGAGGAUUCGAGCGUUAUCCGGAUUUAUUGGGUUUAAAGGGAGCGUAGGUGGGUUGUUAAGUCAGUUGUGAAAGUUUGCGGCUCAACCGUAAAAUUGCAGUUGAAACUGGCAGUCUUGAGUACAGUAGAGGUAGGCGGAAUGCGUGGUGUAGCGGUGAAAUGCUUAGAUAUCACGAAGAACUCCGAUUGCGAAGGCAGUUCACUGGACUGCAACUGACACUGAGGCUCGAAAGUGUGGGUAUCAAACAGGAUUAGAUACCCCGGUAGUC
Molecule: ribosomal RNA, 460 nt
Filed under: uncultured bacterium
Lineage: Bacteria
Description: partial 16S ribosomal RNA
Rfam family: Bacterial small subunit ribosomal RNA
Source: RNAcentral